GCGCUGCCGAAGAGUCCCACAAUAGGACGAAACGGCCGUUCUGUAC
This is a non-coding RNA of Schistosoma rodhaini, 46 nucleotides long. The record is from Rfam. NCBI's taxonomy places the organism in Eukaryota, Metazoa, Platyhelminthes, Trematoda, Strigeidida, Schistosomatidae.